Molecule: ribosomal RNA, 744 nt
Filed under: Bacillus sp. A190
Lineage: Bacteria; Bacillati; Bacillota; Bacilli; Caryophanales; Bacillaceae
Description: bacterial SSU rRNA
Rfam family: Bacterial small subunit ribosomal RNA
Source: RNAcentral
UGCUCCUGAUGUUAGCGGCGGACGGGUGAGUAACACGUGGGUAACCUGCCUGUAAGACUGGGAUAACUCCGGGAAACCGGGGCUAAUACCGGAUGGUUGUUUGAACCGCAUGGUUCAAACAUAAAAGGUGGCUUCGGCUACCACUUACAGAUGGACCCGCGGCGCAUUAGCUAGUUGGUGAGGUAACGGCUCACCAAGGCACGAUGCGUAGCGACCUGAGAGGGUGAUCGGCCACACUGGGACUGAGACACGGCCCAGACUCCUACGGGAGGCAGCAGUAGGGAAUCUUCCGCAAUGGACGAAAGUCUGACGGAGCAACGCCGCGUGAGUGAUGAAGGUUUUCGGAUCGUAAAGCUCUGUUGUUAGGGAAGAACAAGUACCGUUCGAAUAGGGCGGUACCUUGACGGUACCUAACCAGAAAGCCACGGCUAACUACGUGCCAGCAGCCGCGGUAAUACGUAGGUGGCAAGCGUUGUCCGGAAUUAUUGGGCGUAAAGGGCUCGCAGGCGGUUUCUUAAGUCUGAUGUGAAAGCCCCCGGCUCAACCGGGGAGGGUCAUUGGAAACUGGGGAACUUGAGUGCAGAAGAGGAGAGUGGAAUUCCACGUGUAGCGGUGAAAUGCGUAGAGAUGUGGAGGAACACCAGUGGCGAGGCGACUCUCUGGUCUGUAACUUACGCUGAGGAGCGAAAGUUGGGGGAGCGAACAGGAUUAGAUACCCUGGUAGUCACGCCGUAAACGAUGAGU